Molecule: long non-coding RNA, 302 nt
Organism: Ornithorhynchus anatinus (platypus)
Lineage: Eukaryota; Metazoa; Chordata; Mammalia; Monotremata; Ornithorhynchidae
Exons: 2
Source: RefSeq, a predicted model, not a curated record
UACUGCUGCAUGUCACCUUCCCUCUGCUGUUGCUGGACAAGAUGGAAUAAAGGGCCCAGAACCCAACCAAAGAGCCCAUUGUAACAUACUGAAGAAUUGACAUACUCAACUCCUUCCUUCAUCCUCAACCAUCAUUGCCAGCAUCAUCAGUGUUCCCACCUUCAACACCACCCAUAGGGAAAAGGAUACCAAACACAUCUCUAGGGGUUUACAGAAUUUUAAUGAGCCUUCAUGGAUUUGACAAUUUCCUGGGGAGAACAUGUAUACUUGUAAAAUAAUUAAAUAGGAUACUCCCCAAGCAA